UAAAAUAAAUCGCCAUUUUCACUUGAAAUUAAAAACCCUUCCUUGCGGCCUUGCUUCCCAGCCUUCCAACGUCUGAAGCAGUUCUCCAAAUCCCAAUCUACACCCUCCCGGCCUCCCCUAUCUCUCACUCAUCUCUCACCUCAAUCAGAUCGGAAAACAACUUUGAAAUCGAUCAGCGGCGUCCCCUUCAACCCCGACGGCUGGGGACCGGUUGAACCCUCCGUCGGAACCAACACUUCUCUCCUCCCCAACCACCCCGUCAACGUUCCCUUCGCUCCCUUUUCUCGGUCCGACAAACUGCUAUUCUUUAUGCCUUCAAGAGCAUAACUUUUUCGAUGUUCAAAACCCAAACCCGAUUCAGAUUCAGAGGCGGACUCUCGCAUCAGAGACUGUUUUGGAGCGGCAUAGAGUAACGGAGAAGGACCGAGAUAGAGAGAGGGAAAGGGAUCGUCACCAUAAGGACCGAGAUCG
RNAcentral lists this long non-coding RNA (471 nucleotides) under Panax ginseng (ginseng). RNAcentral describes it as "long non-coding RNA (PGIN_LNC010415)". The record is from RNAcentral. Lineage: Eukaryota; Viridiplantae; Streptophyta; Magnoliopsida; Apiales; Araliaceae.